This 1969-nucleotide long non-coding RNA is filed under the name Capsicum annuum. RNAcentral describes it as "long non-coding RNA (CANN_LNC009472)". Lineage: Eukaryota; Viridiplantae; Streptophyta; Magnoliopsida; Solanales; Solanaceae. The record is from RNAcentral.
UGCAGAAGGGCUAUUUUCACUGGAGGUUGCUGCCUUGACAUGCGCUGGACGUGCCCAAGCAGUCCGGGCGCACUUCAGACGCAAAACAAGCUGGUAUUUUCUGCCUUGGCCAUCCACUGGAUAUGCGCAAGAAUUCCAGGCGCAGUCCUGGUGCAUGUUGGACGCAAGGCUGCUGGUUCAUACUGCCUAAGUGUGCGUUGGAACUGCUGGCGCAUUCUAAGCGCAGAUGGGUCGAAAUUCAGUGUAUGAGCAAUGGGUUGGAUCUUGUUGGGCUGACCCGAACCGGUCAGCCCAAAAUGUUUUAAAAUACAUAAAAGCAAGCCAAAACUGUCUUUAACACUUACAUUUUUCAUCACAACUAAAUUCUAACGUCUCUUUUCUCUCAAGCUUCACAUUUUCUCUUUCUUUGACCAAAAUUGAGCUAACAAGAAGUUAAUAAUUCUCUUGAACUUGUGCUUAGUUUAUUCUUCCCUUCUCUUACAUCAAACAAGGUAUGCUUUUUUCACUAUUUCACUUUUGAAUUCUCUUAAAAAUGGACAUUGUGAUUCAUACCUCAUUUUGAUUGAUCUCUUGAAAUUGGUUUGUGUGAGUUAGUUGGGAUGAUUUGUACUCAUUGUAGUCUUAAGUUGUCAUUGGUACCUUGUUUCACUUAUUUGCCUAAUAAUUCUCUCUUGAAUGAAACUAGUACACCAUGUAUUUGAUAAAAUGGCCAUUACCCCCUUUCUUGCUUAUUUUGUGUGGUGGUUGGCUGAAGUAUGAUACUAUGAGCAUCUUGAAUAUGUUUGGUGAUGAUUUGGUGAAAUGAUCUUGUUCUCUUGUGCUUAAAUUCUCAUUAUCCAAUUUCAUAUUUAGCCUACCAUAUAUUUGUUAAAAUGACAACAAGAGAGGAAUGUGUUGUACACUUGUAGUGGCCAAUGUGAUUUCCCUUAAGACAUAAUGUGGUCAUUAUCUAUGCAUCAUUUUGAGUUCAAUUGAACCUAAAAGUGAAAUAUUUGGUAGUCAUUGGUCAUUCAUGUUUCCAUUGGAGGUUUUGGAUGUCUUAUGAACUAAAGUUGUGAAAUGUGAAGAAUGUGAAAUAUUGUAGAACCAAAAUGACUAAGUGUUGUAAUGAAUGCAUCCCAUGAGCUCUAAUGUUGAAAUUACUUUGCAUAAAUCAAACAAACAUUUUAUUUUCUUAUCUUUAAUUUUCUUUCUUAACAUACAAAAAUUCCAAAAACAUGUUUUAAUUUUUCUCUUUUGUUUUGGUUUUAUUUGUUUCUUUUUCAUAGGUAUGUCUCCAUGAAAGAACUUGCCACGAGAAGCUAGAAAGGAUAAUGCUAAAGAUAAAGUCAAAGAAAAAGUUACCUCCGCAAAGGAAAGAGCACCGGUCUCCAAAAAUAGUUCGAAAGCUCUGGAUGUCCAAGCAACUAUUGAUCGUACACGGGAGGUCGGAAAGGAGGUGGAUCGAAUACGGUUUAGUGUGGAUGGUGUGAAGAAGCUUUAUGAUGAAUGGAUACCUACUCGGGCUUCCAUCCUGAGAAGGUCUUUAGCAUGAAGGGAGUUGACACCCAUUUCCCCGAGAUCAUCACUGAAGUUAAGGAACGGGCAUGGGAACUCUUCACAGAUAUGACGCCUCCCACUCACCCACUAAGAUACUUCUCGAAUAUUGUUCGUGUGUUUUUGUAACGCCCCAAAAAUCUAUCCCGAGACUUCACACGGUGCUUGGAACCACAGGUGAUCCCAAGCUAACCCAUGAGUUAGCAUAUUGUUAAGCAACUGAAUUAUAACAUAAUAAAUAACUAUUCUGCUGUGCGAAAAUAUAAUCAAACUGAAAAUGUAAAAUAGUUACAACGCUGAUAAAGAUUUAUAUAUGAUAAAUCUGAAGGAUGAAACUGAAAUUACAUGACUGACUCUGACUGACAUCUAUAAAGCCUCUACUAUACUAACUAUAGAUAGUUAGGACAUGCCUCUAACUACCACUAAUCAAUAC